GGGGCGCUUUUUUGCACACACUGCCAUCUCACCCAGCAAGAUCCCAGCAAUCCCAUGGGAGACCCUCAGCGCUCAGCGCUCGGCGCCCGCCCCGGCGGCCCCGUACUGCCCAUGCCGGGGGCUGGGGCGGGGGGCGCUCGGCUCGGCUCCCCACGGGCUCCCGCCCCCCCAGCUGCGGCCCCGCUCCCCCGGGGCCUCGGCCCGCUACUUUGUGUCAGUUUCGGCCACGGCG
This 232-nucleotide long non-coding RNA is filed under the name Homo sapiens (human). RNAcentral describes it as "LNC_000354". Lineage: Eukaryota; Metazoa; Chordata; Mammalia; Primates; Hominidae. The record is from RNAcentral.